Eptesicus fuscus (big brown bat) is the source of this 777-nucleotide long non-coding RNA. RefSeq lists it as uncharacterized. The record is from RefSeq and is a predicted model, not a curated record. Lineage: Eukaryota; Metazoa; Chordata; Mammalia; Chiroptera; Vespertilionidae. The transcript is spliced from 3 exons.
GUUUUGGGAGCGCCCUGAAGAGAGCUCACGAGGUUUCGUUUGGGAAGAAUCAACUCCUUGGUGUGACGCGAAAUUUAUAGAUGUGUCUGACUUCAGCACAUUUCGGGGAAAGCGUGUGUUUCUACAGUCUGUGGAACAUGGAAUCAAACCAGAAUAUGUUGGCAUAACAGGCCCGUCAAACCGGUUCUUCUGUAGAUCCAGAACCCGUCCAACCAGUCUGCAUCAAAGGCUUGCCCAACAAGCUGCAGCGGCUCAGCUCUGCUAAGCUUGUACCGGAAAACAACUCCAAGACCAUGUGGAUUCCUGCAACAGAGAGGAAUUGAUAGGAGUGCUCCAGCCAUGAAGACAGAAGAGAAACAGUCCAGAGAUGGAAGACGCUGACCAUGCCUUGCCAUACUAGCAGUCAGCAGAUGUGCGUCACUGCAUAUUGCCCAGGACCAAACCAGAGAGGGUCGGACCUGCAUUACCACCAUUUGUCCACCAUCCAGAACUGAAAUAUCAUUGCUGUUAUGUACACAUAAACAACUGUUGGACAUAGAAAUCGGGACUCAAAAGAACUGUUGGCCCAGAAGGAAACUCACUAUAGACUGAUUCAUUUGCCUCUCAGCAUAACCAUUAUUGCUUGUCUCAUUUUCGGUUCCUAUAAGUGUAUUCCUAGUAUCACAUGAGCUCACUCAUCUAGGGGAAAUGAUGAACAACAUAGACUGAAGAACAAGAACAGCAUUGAUCAGACUGUCAGACCUCAGAGGGAAUGUAGGAGAGGGUGGGGACAAGGGA